GGGGGGGUCCCAAAUGCCGACUUUAUGGGGGUCCGGAGAAACUGAGCUACACCAGUGCAUAUGUUCCAUACUUACAACAGCCAUCCAAAUACAGACUAUGCUGAUUUCUCAACAGCAUGCUUAUUGCAGUUCGGGUAAAAGAGGUAAUGAAAACAAUAACAAUUCAGUAUAUUCAUUGUUAUUUGGUAUGUGUGAAUUUGACGAUCUUUCUUACAUUGCCUUUCUGCAGUUCCUCACAGCUGGAAGAAGUCUGAAAAAACCCUUUUGGGAGGUUUUAUAUUUCUUCAGGACAAACUCAUCCAACACCUUUUCUGACAUCAGAAGUACAUGCAGGCCUUGUAGGAGACACUGAACGGAUUCCAUAGAGAUUCCAAGAAGGAAGCGGAGGAACAUGUCCAUCUCUCCAUUCUCUCUGGACACAGAAUUGUACAUGGAUCCUUUUGUGCCAGCUGUAUUUGAAUGAUCAGAAAGUGAGUGUACAUCUCAGUCAGAGUUGUAGGGAUUACUCCAUUCAAAGUUUCUCUCAACAGUUCCUCAAGAACCUUAGCGGAAAUCCAACAGAAGACUGGUUGAUGUAUCUACGGGGAAUCUGAUUGGCUGCUGCAGGUCUAGAAGUUAUCCAGAUCAGAGCUUUGGGAAGCAGCUUCUCCUCUGAGG
RNAcentral lists this long non-coding RNA (657 nucleotides) under Salmo salar (Atlantic salmon). RNAcentral describes it as "lncRNA (ENSSSAG00000115075.1)". Lineage: Eukaryota; Metazoa; Chordata; Actinopteri; Salmoniformes; Salmonidae. The record is from RNAcentral.